Prunus avium (sweet cherry) is the source of this 269-nucleotide non-coding RNA. NCBI's taxonomy places the organism in Eukaryota, Viridiplantae, Streptophyta, Magnoliopsida, Rosales, Rosaceae. The record is from RefSeq and is a predicted model, not a curated record.
UGGAUGUGCUAUUCUAAUUUGAGUGAUUGUGUACAAGGCUUUGAAGACUGACAUUCGUGGUAGCCCCCGGAGGAGGAUAAUAAGGAAUCAAAUGAAUGGCCACAAAGACCAUAGUCCUUGUUUAGAUGCUCGUUAUUUGAGGGAGACACACCCAAAUCGCAUACCAGUGAUUUUGAAGAAGGAUGCAAGUAGUGACAUUCCUGACAUGGACGGGGAGAAGUGCUUUUAUGUCUACAAUCGAUGAGGAAAAUAAGGAUGAAGAUGGAUUU